UCUGGUAAUGAUGGCAGAGAGGUCACACCCGUUCCCAUACCGAACACGGAAGUUAAGCUCUCUAGCGCCGAUGGUAGUUGGGACCUUGUCCCUGUGAGAGUAGGACGUUGGCGCCU
Molecule: ribosomal RNA, 116 nt
Filed under: Bacillus cereus
Lineage: Bacteria; Bacillati; Bacillota; Bacilli; Caryophanales; Bacillaceae
Source: RNAcentral